Long non-coding RNA from Eriocheir sinensis (Chinese mitten crab), 684 nucleotides. RefSeq lists it as uncharacterized. The transcript has 4 exons. The record is from RefSeq and is a predicted model, not a curated record. Lineage: Eukaryota; Metazoa; Arthropoda; Malacostraca; Decapoda; Varunidae.
UAGAUCCUACCGCAAUCUCUAAGUGUUGUUAGUUUUCUGCCAUUCAAAACUGACUGACUGAAUUUAGGACUGUCUAUGUAUAUUUCCACUGCUGUCUAAGGUUUAAAGAUUAUAUAAAUUUUUAAGGUCUGUUGCUUUCUUUCAUUACAUUAUAUUUUGUAUUGAUUAACAAUAAUUAGUUAAAAUUACCAUGUUUUUACUGCAGGUGCCUCCAGUGGGUGAAAGCCUUGAAAAUUGGCUUUCAAAAGCAUACUCAAGCCAUCUGUAGUGACCACUUUGAUGGGGUUCAUUUUGGCAGCAAGGGCCAGCUGCUGCCGACUGCAACCCCACGUCACACAGAUGGCCAUGAGGAGCAACCACCCACUGGGUUCCCGGCAUCAUCACACAAUGCAGCCGCCAUUGACUUGGAGCCAAUGGAGUUGGAACUCUCCUCUACACAGAUUGUGCUGCCACAUUAUGAUCCGAACACAGCUUUCGGUAACACCCAAGAUAAUGUGGCAGCCCAAGAGGAGAGUCCAAGAAAGAGGCCACGGGUGGACUUAAAUAGAACUCAACCACCCCCUGAGGAAUGUGGCAGUAUCCAACCCCACCUGCUCAGUGUCCCCCAAGCCACACAUGAAAAUGAACUGCAGCCUGACCCUGACGAGUGUGCUCCCCAUUGCACUGCACCAGCUCCAUGUGCUG